Molecule: ribosomal RNA, 502 nt
Filed under: uncultured bacterium
Lineage: Bacteria
Description: bacterial SSU rRNA
Rfam family: Bacterial small subunit ribosomal RNA
Source: RNAcentral
UUUUAAAAGACUGCGGCGGGCUUACCAUGCAAGUCGAGCGGAAACGAUGAUAGCUUGCUAUCAGGCGUCGAGCGGCGGACGGGUGAGUAAUACUUAGGAAUCUACCUAGUAGUGGGGGAUAGCACGGGGAAACUCGUAUUAAUACCGCAUACGACCUACGGGAGAAAGGGGGCAGUUUACUGCUCUCGCUAUUAGAUGAGCCUAAGUCGGAUUAGCUAGAUGGUGGGGUAAAGGCCUACCAUGGCGACGAUCUGUAGCUGGUCUGAGAGGAUGAUCAGCCACACCGGGACUGAGACACGGCCCGGACUCCUACGGGAGGCAGCAGUGGGGAAUAUUGGACAAUGGGGGAAACCCUGAUCCAGCCAUGCCGCGUGUGUGAAGAAGGCCUUUUGGUUGUAAAGCACUUUAAGCAGUGAAGAAGACUCCAUGGUUAAUACCCAUGGACGAUGACAUUAGCUGCAGAAUAAGCACCGGCUAACUCUGUGCCAGCAGCCGCGGUAAU